GUCUUGACCAUAUCCAACCCAUUAAAUCCACUUAUCCGGUUUUUAAAUUAGCUUAACAAAUAAUUAAAGUGCAAAGUUAUUUUAUUUACGUAUUUUUUCCACAAGAAAUUGUUCAUCUUCUCCCAAGCCGCUCACUAUGAACUCCAAUGCAAACCCUAGACCUCCCCUUCCUCUUAUUUUCUCUUUAUUGUUAUCUUGGUGAGUGAGUAUGUGAGAUAGAACCUUGAUUUCAUCUACUGCCUGGAUUUUCUCCCUGUGACUAAGCGAUUAUGUAGGUUAGAUCGAGAUAAUUGACUUGCUUGCAUAAUGAUUGAACUUGUUGGGUUUGUUCUUGAGAAGAAGUAUUUGGAGUUUUUGUGAUGGUGGAUAUCCUAUAGCAACAAGGCGAUACUUUAAAUGGAUGGGAGAGAUUGCAGAAGAGGUAAAUGGUGAAUUAGCUUGGAAAUUUGUGAUUUUAUCCAAAUUUUCAGUAGGCCUUUGUUUGUUUCCUAGCAGGUGCAAAUUUUCAUGGUUGAUAUCUACUUACAUAAGAAUUUAUUGGUCUUGCCUCAUGCUCUUUUUUUGCAUGAAUAGAGUAAUAAGUAUUGAAUGAUUUUCAAUCAAAAUUAACUGGUAAAGAUAUAAAAGUCAUGUGAGAUAUUAAAAAAAUAAAACAUUUUUCCUACCUAUUUACACUUGUACUCUUGUCUCACAAUUUUAAUAGUAUUGGUGAAUUGAUGAUAUCUAUAGGUUUGUUAACUGACAAAUGGUGUAAUAAGUAAGUGGAUCCACAAGCACUGUUUUGUCAAUUGUGUUUCAGUAAGCUAUAGUUCAUCUAUGACUGCAUUUGUUUGUUUUAGUUGUUUCCAUGAUCAUAUCUAUGGUGCUUUAUAUAUGGAAUUAAAUCAUUUCCUUUUUGAAAAUCUACAAAAAUAGUAUUAAGUUUAUCAUAUGAUUAUGUGACAUAAGUUGAAACUUAAUGUGCAUUAAGGAAUGACUUUAGAGAAAUACGAGCAUACUACUUCCGAGUUCAUUAUAUUUGUCAUAUUUUAAUUUUUCACACGACCCUCAACUAAAAUGAUUAUUUUACUUAAUUAUUCUUUUUACAUUUUUAUCUCAAUAGCCUGGAGGGUUUUUUUUUUGGAAACUACACUUUCCACAUUCCAUUUAUGGGUUUUUAUUGGAUGUUCUAUUUUUUUGUUAAUCUUAAUUAAAUACUAUGUUUACUCACAUUAUUCUCUUCAUAAAUAAAAAUUGUUUCGGAUAAGGAAAUUGUAGUUGUUUCCGUGAUCAUAUUUGGUGCCAUUAGGAGCACUUAUACUACACUGACAAGUUUUUUUUUCAUAGAUCAAAGAUUUGUAAUUGAAAGAACCUUGAAGAAACUGCAGAGAAAAUGUAUGUGACUGGAAAAGUUUAAAGAAGUUGAAGCACAAGAGAAAUAUAUUUUCUAUCUUUUUUAGGAGUUUGAUAAUAUUAUCAUGUGUAUAUGUGACAUAAUAUUCUCAUAAUGUAGGAUGUAGACUAUUAUAAUGGCAUACACCUGUUUAUAGUAAUGCUUAUUCUUUGUAAUUAAAUUUUGGUAGUUCAUAUAUGACUCAAAUCAUGAAUGAUAAUUAUUAAGUUUUUGUACAUCUUAACAAUAAUAAGCAUGUAAUGAUCAAAUUUUUAGUUGGUAAAAUCUAGUACAAAAUUAGGUAAAGUAAAAUCUAGUUGCUUAAAGAACUUAUAACAACUGGAUUUGUUACUGUAAUUAAGUGUUUUUAGUGAUCGAAAUGAAAAUUAAUGAAAGAUAAAUUUGGUUGUUAAAAUGAGAAUCGACGACCGGAAUUUUUACCAUCGCUAAAGAAUUUUAAACAACCAAUUUGAAAAUUCGGUCGUUAACUUUUAACGAUGAAGCUUUUAGCGAUCGGUGACGACCAAUUCUUUACCGAAUAACAACCGGAUCUAGACUUUUAGCGACCGGAUUGACUCUCGUUAAAAUCUAUUUUUCUUGUAGUGUCUACAUCCGGUCACUGGCCGCAUUGGAACUAGUUUGUUCAUCUCAUUAGGCACCAGUGUCAUCC
RNAcentral lists this long non-coding RNA (2042 nucleotides) under Solanum lycopersicum (tomato). RNAcentral's name for it is "partial TCONS_00160200". The record is from RNAcentral. Lineage: Eukaryota; Viridiplantae; Streptophyta; Magnoliopsida; Solanales; Solanaceae.